Molecule: transfer RNA, 66 nt
Filed under: Amphiophiura penichra
Lineage: Eukaryota; Metazoa; Echinodermata; Ophiuroidea; Amphilepidida; Ophiuridae
Description: tRNA-Arg
Source: RNAcentral
UAGACGUUAGUUUAAAUAAAACAAAUGAUUUCGGCUCAUUAGACUUCAGGAUUCUGAAACUUCUUU